UAGGGUGCGAGCGUUGUCCGGAAUUACUGGGCGUAAAGAGCUCGUAGGCGGUUUGUCGCGUCGUCUGUGAAAUCCUCCAGCUUAACUGGGGGCGUGCAGGCGAUACGGGCAGACUUGAGUACUACAGGGGAGACUGGAAUUCCUGGUGUAGCGGUGAAAUGCGCAGAUAUCAGGAGGAACACCGGUGGCGAAGGCGGGUCUCUGGGUAGUAACUGACGCUGAGGAGCGAAAGCAUGGGUAGCGAA
RNAcentral lists this ribosomal RNA (245 nucleotides) under uncultured bacterium. RNAcentral's name for it is "partial 16S ribosomal RNA". It matches the Rfam family "Bacterial small subunit ribosomal RNA", at positions 528 to 772 of the family's 1533-position model. The record is from RNAcentral.